Streptomyces pratensis ATCC 33331 is the source of this 75-nucleotide non-coding RNA. The record is from Rfam. Lineage: Bacteria; Bacillati; Actinomycetota; Actinomycetes; Kitasatosporales; Streptomycetaceae.
CUUGACGGAGCCCAGCAGCAGCGGCCGGUCGGCGGGGUGUUCGCGGCCGUAGGUGGCCAGCAGCGCCUGGGCUUC